RNAcentral lists this transfer RNA (72 nucleotides) under Datnioides polota (four-banded tigerfish). RNAcentral's name for it is "tRNA-Gly". It matches the Rfam family "tRNA". From Rfam's summary of the family: Transfer RNA (tRNA) molecules are approximately 80 nucleotides in length. Their secondary structure includes four short double-helical elements and three loops (D, anti-codon, and T loops). Further hydrogen bonds mediate the characteristic L-shaped molecular structure. tRNAs have two regions of fundamental functional importance: the anti-codon, which is responsible for specific mRNA codon recognition, and the 3' end, to which the tRNAs corresponding amino acid is attached (by aminoacyl-tRNA synthetases). tRNAs cope with the degeneracy of the genetic code in two manners: having more than one tRNA (with a specific anti-codon) for a particular amino acid; and 'wobble' base-pairing, i.e. permitting non-standard base-pairing at the 3rd anti-codon position. The record is from RNAcentral. Lineage: Eukaryota; Metazoa; Chordata; Actinopteri; Lobotiformes; Datnioididae.
AUCUUUCUAGUACUAAAACAAGUACAAGUGACUUCCAAUUACUAAGUCUUGGUUAAAAUCCAAGGAAGGAUA